This 1284-nucleotide long non-coding RNA is filed under the name Salmo salar (Atlantic salmon). Its description in RNAcentral is "lncRNA (ENSSSAG00000082192.1, ENSSSAG00000117864.1)". Lineage: Eukaryota; Metazoa; Chordata; Actinopteri; Salmoniformes; Salmonidae. The record is from RNAcentral.
GCCGUUCUGAAUGUCUGAAAAAACAAACUAAGAUCCUGUGUGUGUGUGUGUGUGUAGAUCCUGUGUGUGUGUGUGUGUAGAUCCUGUGUGUGUGUGUGUAGAUCCUGUGUGUGUGUGUAGUUCCUGUGUGUGUGUGUAGAUCCUGUGUGUGUGUGUGUGCAGAUCCUGUGUGUGUGUGUGUAGAUCCUGUGUGUGUGUGUGUAGAUCCUGUGUGUGUGUGUGUAGAUCCUGUGUGUGUAGUUCCUGUGUGUGUAGUUCCUGUGUGUGUGUGUAGAUCCUGUGUGUGUGUGUGUAGUUCCUGUGUGUGUGUGUGUAGAUCCUGUGUGUGUGUGUGUGUAGAUCCUGUGUGUGUAGAUCCUGUGUGUGUGUGUAGAUCCUGUGUGUCUGUGUAGAUCCUGUGUGUGUGUGUGUGUCUAUGUAGAUCCUGUGUGUGUGUGUAGAUCCUGUGUGUGUGUGUAGAUCCUGUGUGUGUGUGUAGUUCCUGUGUGUGUGUGUGUAGAUCCUGUGUGUGUGUAUGUAGAUCCUGUGUUUGUAGAUCCUGUGUGUGUGUGUAGAUCCUGUGUGUGUGUGUGUGUGUGUGUGUGUGUGUGUGUGUGUGUGUGUGUGUGUGUGUGUGUGUGUGUGUAGAGCCUGUGUGUGUGUAGAUCCUGUGUGUGUGUGUGUAUCCUAUGUGUGUGUGUGUAGAUCCUGUGUGUGUGUAGAUCCGUGUGUGUGUGUGUGUGUGUGUAGAUCCUAUGUGUGUGUGUGUAGAUCCUGUGUGUGUGUGUAGAUCCUAUGUGUGUGUGUGUAGAUCCUGUGUGUGUGUGUGUGUAGAUCCUGUGUGUGUAUUUUAUUAUUCAAUAUUAAACAUGUAAUAAAGCACAACAGUAUUCCUUGUAAUAAUAUGAACUUGUGAUAUUGGCUAUUAAAAUGUAAUCUGCAAAAACACAUUUUGAAAAGGCAAUGGAACUCUAAAUUAAUCUCCUGUCUUUCUACAGUUUAUCGUCCACCUGCCAGAGGACCGAGGGCCUAGUCGAGACCUUGGAAUUGAAUGGUCCUAUCUGCAUUGUUGUGAAAACUGAGUUAUUGAAAUAUUUUUGUUCUGUACAAUGUCUACCUAUAUAGUACUGUAAAUAUGUUGGUAAAGACUUCACGUUAAAAUUGACCGUUCAAACCAAUGAGGUUUCGGGAACGUUAAAGCCAAUUAUCUCAGAAUCAUCUUUUUUUUGCAGAUAGACCCUUAUCAUUUUAUAGUCACGUAUUGUAUGGCAAUCUACUUCCUCAAUAGUAAAGUCCCAAACAAAU